CGAGCGGUAAAUUUGAAGUAACAGAUUUUGAUGUAGACACUAAUGCUAAUACAUAUGUUAUGUACUUUUUGUUCCUGAAAAUUAUCAAUACGUUCGGCUUAUUUUGCAUAAAUUUUAAACGAUGCUACAUACUUUGUGAUGUUUAAUUUAUUACUUUAAUUAUUAGUCUAUUACAAUGAAAGGAUUGGAUCAUGGAGGAGCCUCUGAAAGAUGCGUUUUUUUAACUGUACUCUCUGCUGUCUUUAUCUGAUCUGUACAGAGUAGCUAGUCGGAAAUGGACUUUGAUAGAAUAAUGAAUGAAUGAUGGAAUAAUUCGGAUAAGCCAAUCACUCCUUAAAUUUCUUAUUGCCGGAAUACAGCAGACAAAACACUGUGUUGAAAACAUUCUUCUCGUGAGAUGCUGUUGCAUCCAGCCACUCUUUCGGAAAAAGAUCAAUAGUUGUUUAGUUAUUUUCUGAAGUGCUGUGAUUGCUACAAUCUCAAUUAUUAUUUCAUUUAUGAUUCAACUUACAUCCGAAAAUUGAAAGCGCUAAAAAUGGCACAGAACUGUAAAAAUUAACCAUUGUUUUUGAAUCGACUUUACGUGGAGGACGCACAGACAACCUUGUAAUAUUUUAAGUUAAAAGUAAUAUUUAAGAAUCAUUUAAUACCACUUAAUGGUUCAAAAGGUGCAUAUUUGCCUCUUCAUUCCUCUCAAAAAUGUAUAGAUUUAGUCCGUGGUCUUACCGUGUAAGAUUAUCAGUAGUUAGCUGUUUUUUAAGUCAGAUUGUACCGUUAUUAGGGAGUGGAGACGGAAAUAUGGAGGAUAUUUUGUUGGAAGAAAAGAUCACACCCGGCAUACUUGACAAAAUACCGAUCUACAUUGCAGAGAUCAAUUACGAUAAUGUCACCCUUGCAACUUUUGGUAACAUAAUACCCAAGAAAUAUUAUGAGAAGCAUCCCGAAAGUGUUGAAUGGAUGCCCGACUGUCACCUCUACUACACAAUUAUAUUCACAGACAUUGAUGCGAACCCAAAAUGGCCGCGUCGAGAGCGCCAACUGUGGAUUGUGGGGAACAUUUUGGGCGGAGCGUGGAAUUCGGGUGAGAAUAUUACCGAAUAUGGUAUCUUAGAGCCUGCAGAGAGUUCAGGUAAACAUAGAGUUCUCAUCGUAAUUUAUGAACAAGGCAAUAAGAUUGACUUCAAAGAACCUGUGAUCACCAAACGAGACGAUGAGCGGAGAGACAACUUUUCGACGCUUGAAUUUGUGAGGAAAUACAACAUGGAUCAUCCAAAUGCUGCAAAUUAUUUCUCCAUCAAAUACGAAGGUGAUUGAAAAAUUAAAUCUAUUGGAAACAUAUCUUGGGCCCAUCUGAAUCCUAUAGAAUAAGAGGUCGUGCAUGAAUGACAAUUAGCACCCACGAGCGAUGAAAGGAGGGUAUAAAUCGCAAAUGGCCCAACGUAAUGUGGAGACGGCCGCGGCCCCUCAGUGUUUUCACCGAGUGACAAUGUCGUAUAAAAUGAUGAAUGGAGAAUAUCCGGAACGCAAUUAAUCGAUAUUAUUUACAAAAUAAGCAGUGCAAUGGAUAGAAAAACAGAUGUGGAAAAUUGAAUCUCAAGAGAGAGCGGAUGCACUAACUUUAGAACUUGCAACUGAUAUCAUCUCAGGAACUCAUUAUUAGUAAAUUAUGUUUUCAUUAUAUCACUUUCAUCCUAAGCUCCGUGAAAACAUAUUUUCAUAAUUUGUUUGCCCAAUCAUAUAUUAUCACAAGACUUCAAGAGCCCGUAGAAGUAUCAUUCGAAGAUUUGAGUGAGUCUCUGAGUCCUCAAUUGCUAGAGAGUUCACUUUGGACUCAGUAAAUGAAAAGGAAAGGCACCUUUGGUGAAAAUUUGCUUCACAAAUUACUCGAGUGGAGCUUUGUGCAAUCCUCAAAAAAUUUACGUUCCAGAAUUCCAAAAGUUAAAUGCUGAGUGCCCUUUGCAUAAUGGGAAAAAAUCAAAGGGACAGUAGUUUCUAAUUUGAAAAUAUAUGAUCGGUCCAUUAUGACGUAUGUGCUUAAAAUAGAUUUAACGAUGACCUGAGAGAAUAAAUAAGUACUUUUUCCUCAGUUUUAUUGCCUGCAGAGAACUGACCAUACUCUUAUAACCAAAUCAGC
Bemisia tabaci is the source of this 2134-nucleotide RNA transcript. It is a transcript of the gene named putative odorant-binding protein A5, with no coding region annotated. NCBI's taxonomy places the organism in Eukaryota, Metazoa, Arthropoda, Insecta, Hemiptera, Aleyrodidae. The record is from RefSeq and is a predicted model, not a curated record.